UAAUUUGUUCAUAUGUAGCAGCCUUCUCUAGCCUAACAGUGAGAUCAACCACAGAGACAUCAACAGUUGGAACACGGAAAGCCAUUCCAGUAAGCUUGCCGUUCAGAGCAGGUAGCACCUUCCCAACAGCCUAAGAAAAAACAAGAAUUCAAAUCCACCAAGAGAGAGGAGUCAAAUACCAUAAUAAUUCAGGACAGAAAUUUAGAAUUGUUACAACCAGCCCCCACCACUAGCACAUCACAAAUGCAGAAUCCAACUAAUAUACAUAACAAUCAUUGGUUGUCGACCAGAAAGUCCAUACCUUAGCAGCUCCUGUGCUGCUAGGAAUGAUGUUGAAGGAAGCAGCUCUUCCACCUCUCCAAUCCUUGCUUGAUGGCCCAUCAACAGUCUUUUGGGUAGCUGAAUUAAGGGUAGAAUAAACACAAUAAGGACAAGGUGUAUGCUCUUAUAAGUUAUAACCACACCAGCACAAAAUAAAAACACAUGAAGCAUACCAGUAAUGGAGUGGACAGUUGUCAUAAGACCCUCAACAAUGCCGAAGCGAUCAUUGAUAACCUGCAAAAUUGGACAAAGGAUAAGUACAAAAUAAUACUGAUCACUUUCAGACUUUAGCUAAAGCAAUAGAGCAGAUGAACAGGAAAUAACAAUAGCACCUUUGCAAGAGGAGCAAGGCAGUUAGUGGUGCAGCUGGCAUUUGAUACAAUGUGAAUAUCUGGCUUGUAGUCGUGCUCAUUGACACCAACAACAAACAUGGGAGCAUCCUUGCUUGGGGCUGAGAUGAUGACUUUCUUAGCACCACCC
RNAcentral lists this long non-coding RNA (801 nucleotides) under Jatropha curcas. Its description in RNAcentral is "long non-coding RNA (JCUR_LNC002152)". The record is from RNAcentral. Lineage: Eukaryota; Viridiplantae; Streptophyta; Magnoliopsida; Malpighiales; Euphorbiaceae.